Molecule: non-coding RNA, 5870 nt
Organism: Equus caballus (horse)
Lineage: Eukaryota; Metazoa; Chordata; Mammalia; Perissodactyla; Equidae
Source: RefSeq, a predicted model, not a curated record
ACGGACUAAGACAGUAGUUGGGACGGAAAGAGGCAUUGUGUCUGAGACAUUUAGGAAUUAGACUUGAUAGGAUAUGACGGUUUAGUCGUCAAAGAUGAUUGCCAGGUUUCUGGUUUUGCAAAUGGGCUCUUGGGGUCACCACUCACAGAGACAGGGAAUACGGAAGUAGGCCGAGAGGGACUGGGUGAGCUGAGUUUGGACACGCUGAGCUUGUGGGGUCUGUGGAUACACGGUUUUAGGGUGCUGAGAGUGAUCAGGGUUGAAGUGGGGUUUUGAGAGUCGUCAGCUCACAGCUGGUGGUUGGAGGCGUGGGAGUGGAUGGGUCCCCUAGGCAGAGACACUAUGGAGAGAAGAGAGAUGGGUAGCAGGCAGGACAGUGUGCGACUACGAGAUUCAGGGGACAAAAGGAGGCAAAAAAGGACCCUAGGAGUGGCCAGAGAAGUAGGAAAAAGAAUCCCAAGAGGAUGUGGUGGCCUGAAGUCAAGGAAAAUGGUGUCUCAAGGAGAGAGUGGUCCUCAGUGCUAAAUGCUGCCUGAAAGGUCUAUGAGUAAGGUGGAGGCUGCCGAGCGCCCUUUGCAUUCUGGAACAAGACAUUUUCGUCUCUUUGGCUGGAGAGGAUUUAGUGGAGUGACAGAAGCAGAAGCCAGAUUGAGGAUACAAGUGGAGGUGAGAAAGUGGACACUAAAAACUAGGUGAAGCGUGUGUGUGUCAGGGUAGGGGGUUAGGGUGACAGCCCAUGGCAAUAAUGAGAGGAUGUGGACUGAAGGGGGCUUUGUUUUUCAGCAUGGGAGGGAUUGGGCGUUUAAUGCUAAUGGAAAUAUUCUAGCAGAACAUAGUAGAAGGAGAGGUUGUGAAAUAUUAUCUGUGUCCACCAUGUAACAAAGGGACACAGAAACCAAGGCUGACGAUGACUCUCACUUAUUACUCAGAUCAAAUAGGUGCUAUUUUCAGAAGUGGCUCCUUUAGGAAGAAUGUAUGUGAUCAUCUGGAUUUGAGAACUUAUAUUUGAAUUCAACUUUUCCACAUGGGCUGCUGACCCAAGUGACCGGAUUUAGUGGAAUUCAUUGUGACAGCAAACUGCUCCAGCAGCCAUACUGGGAACUUCAACGUCAAUGUCAAGAAGGCAUCAAUGGAACUUUUGGUUACUUUCUUUUGAAUUCUACCCUUAGCACAUUGGAGAUAGAUACAAAACCGACCUUUCCAGUUCUCUAGAGAGACCCUCCCCCACCUCCAAACAAAAUUCAGGAGUGAUACUUAAAAGACGAGAAAGAACUACACGGAUCAAAACCAACAGGGUGGGAAGGAAAAUAUACAGGGAAUGGUCACUUCAUGGGGGUUUUCAAAAUGAGACAUUUUAUUUCCCAAAGAAAUAUGGCCAGAACUGUUUCGGCACCGAAGAAUGUUUCUUGGUUGUUUACUUUUUAAUUUUUAACUAGACUCUCCUGGGGAGCAGGGACUACCUCCAGUCCCCUAGCUCAUUUUCGUCCCACGGGACUGUCUGGGAUUUUGGUCCCAGGUGAAGCACUGAAUUGUAAUUUGGGGUGAGGUGGCGGGGUGAGUGAUCUGGGCAUGCUCAGUUCAGAAAGGGUUGCUCAGACGUCUGGUUAUGUAAAAUGAGAGGAAACAGUAAUCAGGCUAAGGGAAUUGUCAAAGGAAUAUGUGGUCUAUAUUUCUAGAGAAUCUGAGAGGACAAACUCCCUCAUAAAUCUACCAGAUGGUGCAAAGCCAAUGACAACAUAUGUAUGUAGUUCCCAAGUGAAUUCCUCUCCCUUGCAUCGAAGCCUAUUUUAACACUCACGUUGAGUUACGAGGAGAACGCCAGCUACUGAGUUCCCUAUAUUACAGUAGAGAUGCAGCCUGUGGUUAUGUGCACAAGGGUGACGAUGGAUGUCUGUAGAGUCAUUGUGGUAUUGGCAAGUCAUCUAGUAGAUAUUUAUUUGUUUCACUUCUGUUGUUAAUUCCCUAAAAGAGCUCUGAAGGGUUCCCAUUAACCGGAGGAUGCAGAACUCGCUGCCUUGUAUCUGAGAAGCCACAACAGCCACGCGUUCCUCUUGAGCCACGCACGCUCAAGGAGGCUUACUUUACUCUGGCUGUCUCCCCUCUCGCGAGGUCUCCCUGACAUGAAAUCUGUGGGUAACUCCACUUAAAGUAGAGUUUCUCUACCCUGGCUGCACUUUACAAUUACCCUGGGGUUCUGGAAAAUACAUGUGGGUGAGACCCACCUGAGACCAAUUAAGUCAGACUCUCCGGGGGUUGGGACCCAGGCAUUUCUUGUUCUAAAAUUUCCCCAGGCAAUUCUAAUCUGCAGAUUUGAGGUUCAUGGAUUAAAGUUCUAGGAAAGAUGAUGUCCCUUUGGUCUUAUUUGGAUGGGUAAAAUUUGCAUGAACACAGCAACCUUAUGCAUCAGAACUGGUAUUUUAUUUCGAAAGCAGUCACCGCCAGUGUUGCUCUGGUCUCAGAAUCACAAGGUUGACCGAGGGACCCCCUUUACCAUGCCACUAUCUCAUAAGAGUCCCCUGUCUUUGCUUAUUGUAGUUUUGUUAAUAAUAAAAAAUAAAAAGAAUCUUAUGAUCAGAUGAGAGUAGAUUAGUUAAAUAAAUAUGGGAUAGCCCCAAAGUGGAAUAUUACACAGGCAUUAAAAGCAAUUAUGCAACUGUUUAUUCACAUUCAUUUAUUUAAGAACUAUGUUUAGAGAACCUCUUGUGUGCCAAAUAUUGCUCUAGGCUCUAGGAAUAUAGCGGCAAAGAAGAAAGGCAUUAGCAUUUUUUUAAAAGGAAGUUUAAAAACAGCAUACAUAUUAUGAUAAUACUUUGUAACAUAUAGGUUAAAAAUAUGGAAGCUAUAUAUUAAAAAGUUAAUGUAAUUAAAGUGUUAAUUGACAUAUCUGUGUGAUGGGAUUGAAGAUGAUUUUAAUUUUCUUUUAUUUUUUGGAUUUUUUUCUAUGCUGGGCGUUUAUUACUUAUGUAAUUUUAUGUGUAUCAGGUAUAUUCCAUUCCGUUUCUCAAUGUCCCGCAACUCUAAUAGGAACGUGUUAAGUGACUUGUCCCAUAGCCGGGGCAACAGUAUGGCUGGGCUUAAAGGUCAGCCAGAGGCUGCAGAAGAUCAUUGUCUUUUUAAACCUGGCAGUGCCAAGCUGACUGUCGAGGUUUAAAGCGUAUUAAAUAAAAAAUUACAAUAAUACUCCAAGGCUUUCUUACUCUUUACUUUUAUCAGCUUGUUUUUCUGUUCAAGAGCCUGAGAUGUUAGGAGCUCAAAAAGUACUUGUUGAAUAAAGGAGUGAAUGAAUGAUUGCAAGGCUGGUUAACCUGUGCCGAUUCAUUCACAUGCAAUAUUGAAAGUAGCCACGAGAUGGCGGUAAAGUUUAAAAAGUGAAAGUAGCAGGGUUUCAGUAAAAAUCCCCCGGGUUAGGCGUGGAAGACGUGUUCCUGGGCCGACUGCCGUUCCGGGGAGCUAACAGCCAAGACAGAGUGAGGAUUCUCCGCCUGGGGAGUCUUCCCUCCCUUACCCCGCUCGGCAGAGGGCGCAGAUAGCAAUAGAAAUGGGAGUUCUUGACUCUUCUCUCCCUUGAACGACAGGGCUGCUUUGCUGAAUCGGGACGUCCAUGUGACUCCUGAUUUAAGAAAGGGUUUUAGCCUUGAGAGAGCUGCCUGUGGGGAGAGGCCCUCAGCUGUUAUCCCCGAGGGAGACGUAGUAUCUGCAGUAGUGGUGGAAGAAGAGAAAAGACGAAAGCAAAUGGUUUCUUUGCCUUUGGUCCGUCUGAAGGCUGGAAGGGGGGCUGCCAGGUUGGUGGAAAGCUAAUGGUGUUAGCUGUUAUCCUGCAGGCUAGCCGGCGCAGCGGGUCACAGGGGGCAGGGAUAAGGGGCGCCCAGAACACGUUUUAAAAAUCCCAUAUAUAAUAAUGAAGAGAUCAUGGGGCCAUCUUGCAUAUAUCUAGAACCUGUCCGGGGAUUAGCUAGCCAGUUUAUGACUUAUCUUGCUGCUUACUAACUUUUAAGCCAUGCUGUUGCUUAUUAUCCUGAUAGCAAUUCCAGUGGAGAAUGUGCAGAGGUGCGGAGAGCGGGAGAACCUUAUAGCAGCAAUGCUCUCCUGUUGACGAAUAAAAGUUUAUUGAAAGAUAACAGCAAAGUCUUGGUCCCCUUGACUCUAUUUUUGGAUUUCAAAUUUCCAGCCUACAUAGCAUCUGUGUAGCUGAUGCAAAGAGCAUAGACUCUGCAGUCAGCCAGCUGGGAGCUCAGCUUCAGCGGGGGACAUGAUCCUCUGAGCUAUGUGAUCAUUUUUGAGCUUCCGGUUUUCUCACCUCUACAAGGGACCUACAGAGUCAGGGAAUCAUGUUUAUAAAGGACCUAGCAUGGUCCAGCACAUAGUAAGGGCUGGAAUAAUGGGAUUUUCCUUCUUUUCCAAUCUAAUUUUUAGCCACAUUACUGGCUUAAGUGUGUUGCCUGGACACCCUUUAUUCUGUCAAGACUAUAAUUGUUCUCUGCCUCCUCCCUCUCUGAAAGCCUAUUUUUCUCCCUUCUUUGCCUUAAGAAAUCCCAGCAUUACUUCAGAGCCGGGCUCAGGUGGGCUGCCUCUUCUCAGAACCCCACUGCCCCAUCCCUGAACGGCCUUCUAAGGAACCCUCCUCUCCUGGCCUCACUCACAUCACUGUAGAACUUGUCUGAGCCAGUUGGAGAUGGUAGUUUCCACGUCUCCCACCUUCCCUGCCCCACACAAGCAGACAACCACUUUAAUGUGAGAGUAUAGUAUGCAUGGUUUGCUUUAUCACAAUGCAACCAGGAGCCAAUAUCUUAAGGUCAAGGUAGAAUGAGAGAGCUCUUCUCCAUUUCGUCAGGCUUCUGGGACAGGGUUUUAAAUGUGGGGCUGUCUGGGCCGGAUGCCAAGGAUCAGGGACCUUCCCUGAAGUCCACAGGGAUGCACGGCCACCUCGUGCCCGUCGGUAGAUAUCAGCACACAUGAGUGGUGCCCUUAGAUUGCACUGUCUCCAGGUAACCUGUGAUAACGCUGCUGAUUCCCGCCCCCGGGCCGCAGCAGCAUCCCACUGGAGUCAUUAAGCUUCCUGCUGGUCCAGCGUCUCCUUCAAACAGGUGCUCUCAAAGGCCUUUGCAUGAGGCUGCUGGAGACCCAUUAAUCACCUCUCAAUGGGUGUACACAAAGCUGUCCUGUUACAUUUAGGAUAAUGGAAUCACUUUCAGCAUGGUUUAAUGGGCGGUGCAUAGAUCUGUGCCCAGGAUCCAAAUCAGCAAACCCCAGUCCACGGAAGGAGAGUGUACAAACUCAACCACUGUGCCACCGGGCUGGCCCCUGUUUGCCUCUGCCGUAGGCACUCUGCUAAGUGCUCUGGAAUCAGGUGAAAAAGCAUGACUUUGUUCUCAAGGAGCAACAGACACUAAAGAGGCAACUACAGUCCAACAUGAGAUGAGCAGGAAGCACGUAUUAGAAAAUUUCUGAAAUUUUACGUGAGUCUGUCACUUGAUCUUUCCUCACUGGAAGGCACAGGCUCUGAUCAUCCCCAUAUGAGGAAGAGUCAGCUGAUGCCAGAGAGUGAAUGAGCCCCUGCGGGGAGAAAACCAUCUGAUUCCAAAGCCUGAAUUCUUGACGGCAAUGUGCAGUCUUGAAAAUGACUCUACCUUCACCCUAAAUGGACAUCCAAGUGUUUGAUGAUCAUAUGCUGAGCUUCAGAAGGAAACAGCCUCAUACACCCCAAAACACACACAUCACAGGCAUGACAAUCAUACAAGCAUGUGUGCAAGUCAUUUUACUGCAGCCCGUUGAAGACUUUUCGCAUCCACGCUGAUGGCUUUGUUCUGAACUUUGCCUAAGGGUGCUGCAGGUUUGGGGCAAUUUUUUCUUGAUGUAAAUUUUGGAAUCAA